AAGUACUGUUGUGGAAAAUUCCGAAGCAUUCCCUUGUAAUGCUCCCAACCUUCAUAUAACAACUCCCCAUUGAAUUGUUGAAAAUAAUGAAUAUUUUUCUUUAAUUU
Molecule: small nucleolar RNA, 107 nt
Organism: Lactuca sativa (garden lettuce)
Lineage: Eukaryota; Viridiplantae; Streptophyta; Magnoliopsida; Asterales; Asteraceae
Source: RefSeq, a predicted model, not a curated record